RNAcentral lists this ribosomal RNA (515 nucleotides) under uncultured bacterium. RNAcentral's name for it is "bacterial SSU rRNA". It matches the Rfam family "Bacterial small subunit ribosomal RNA", at positions 735 to 1253 of the family's 1533-position model. The record is from RNAcentral.
AAAGACUGACGCUCAGGCACGAAAGCGUGGGGAUCAAACAGGAUUAGAUACCCUGGUAGUCCACGCUGUAAACGAUGAUCACUCGUUGUUAGCGAUAUACUGUUAGCGACUGAGCGAAAGCAUUAAGUGAUCCACCUGGGGAGUACGGCGGCAACGUUGAAACUCAAAGGAAUUGACGGGGGCCCGCACAAGCGGAGGAGCAUGUGGUUUAAUUCGAUGAUACGCGAGGAACCUUACCUGGGCUUAAAUGUAGGACGACGUUUCGUGAAAGCGGAAUUUCCUUCGGGACGUCUUACAAGGUGCUGCAUGGUUGUCGUCAGCUCGUGCCGUGAGGUGUCGGGUUAAGUCCCAUAACGAGCGCAACCCUUAUCAUUAGUUGCCAUCAGGUCAUGCUGGGAACUCUAAUGAAACUGCCUACGCAAGUAGUGAGGAAGGUGGGGAUGACGUCAAAUCAGCACGGCCCUUAUGUCCAGGGCGACACACGUGCUACAAUGGCCAGUACAGAGGGUUGCAAA